AUUUUGACCCUGCUAACAUCUAACGCUGAUUGUUUGUCUCUGCUUUCAUUCAUACUCACGCUCACACACACAGAUCUCUGGAGAGUGAUAACGAGAAGUGCUCCAUCAGUCAGCAGUCAGUCUGCGAGAGCAAGCGCAGCAGCAACGACAGUCUAGCUGACUACGGAGACAGUGUCGACAUCCAGUUUAACGAGGACGGCUCUUUCAUCGGCCAGUACAGCGGACGCAAAGAUCCGAACAGUCACGGCACUCACGGCAGCUCAGGCACCACAUCUCCCAUCAAUCCCAAUAUGCCUCCGCCCAGCAUCAGCUUUCCCACAUCUGUGACAGGAUUCCUGGGGCCAAACUAACACUCCACCUCCACACGCACACAUCCUUGACCAUCUGAAUGAAGGGCCCUGAUGGUAUUAGACAGGAUAUUGAUUUCAGGAUAGACAGUCGUUACUAUAUGAUGCAAGAAAUGACAUCUGCAAACACCGCCAGCUUCACUCUAGCAUUAUAAUGACACACGUGCAUCCGACAGACACAAAUAAUGUGCAGGACAGUUGCUUCUAACAUUCCAUCCAAGCACUGAAAACUGUUUACAAUUUUCACUUCGCUGCUUCAAGUGAUGUUUGGAUUGUAAAUUCUCCCUCAUUGGAAGUUUUUCCAGUUCUCUCGCUGAAAUUAUGCAGAAGGUGUGAUAGAUAACAGACACAAGCAGGGAAAAGGCACGAAUACAACUGUUUGAGAGUGUAGGGCAGACUUGGGCCUUGUUCACGUGGCACACAAAUCUGAUUGUUUUGAACAUGGGAUCUGUAGGAGUGACUGCCUGCAUCAAUUUUAACGGUCAGUAGAACUGAGGCUGAUUCUUUAGACGGUGUAGUCAGUAUUUCAGUCAGUACAGGCUAAGAUGCAUUUCCAGAAUUUUUUUUUAACUGUUCAGACUAAACCAAAACAAAGCGAUUUUGCUGCCUCUCUGAACAAUGCCUUAUGUCGAAUACAUCAGCUGAAAUCACUGCAGUCAACAGAAGUCAGGUCUGAAAGGCUGAAAAGCGAAAAUCUUUUUCUAUUCAUUAUGGUUUGAAGGCAUUCUUUUCCCAUUCAUGAUUACAAAUCAUUACAUUUAUUUGAAGUAUUGUUUUUGAAUUAUUCUUUUACUUAAGUUCUUACAUUUUUUAAAUAUAUUUAAUACAUGUAUAUAUGUAUUUUUUCCAUAAAGGCGAAUAUAUUUGGUUUAUAUUAUCAUAUUUUUUAUUGAUUUAUUAUUAUUUUAUUUUUUGCUUGUAAUGCAUUUAUCUUUAUGAAUUCAUGUUUUAUAAAACAGUAUGUAUGAACAUUAAUAAUCUGCCAUGUGUGUCUCUCUGUCUUAAUAAUCAAAGUUCAGGGCUUUUAACCGUGUAUCGUUUGUAUUGUUGCCCAAGUAAGUUUUUAAAAUAAUGGUGUUUUUGAUGCAAUUUAUUACGUUAAAUCCCUUUGAAGUACAUACAGCCGCUGCACUAAAGCCAAAUUUUGUGAUCUUGACACUAACAUAUAUUUUUAAAAGAAAAAAGAAAAAAAAACAGCAAGAGAAACUGAUUUCCUGCAGCAAAUAACAGCAUGAGAUGUAGUGCUAGGCUAGUUGAUGUAGUGUGAGGCUGUGCCUGUUGUUCUGCUGUAACGCUGAGGCCAAACCCCGGCCGGCAGAGUCGGAGAACUGCUGUGCUCCAGUGUCUGUGUCAUCCAUCCGUCAGCUUGCAAAUAUUAACACUCAAACAUUGCUAAUUAUGUACAGUGAAUUAUUACUAACAAUAACAGUCAUACAGUAUAAUCUAUCACACAUUUGUCUCGUGUCAUCAAUUGUUCUUUAUGAUGUGGGCAUUUGUUGAAUUGAUGUAGUUGGGCUGUUCCUGUCUGAAGGAAAUAGCCUUGAACAAUAUUACGAGCCGAUGGCAGCGAAUAGACACAAACUACAGAACAAACUGAUGGUUCAUAUUCUGAAUAUGUCAUUUUUUACAACUUUUAUUUAGUAUGUUUUCACAUUUAACAUAUUUAUUAUUAGAUUUAGUGGUAUUAUUACACUUAAUCUGAUCUUUAGUUUAGAAAACAGGUCAGAAGAAAAAUUAAACUUCUGAAUGACUAUAUUGUUGUGAAUUUCAUUAAAUGCAUUGGGGGGGGUGGGGGGGAGCAGUGAUGAUGUCAUGAUGGGCCUGCAGUUUAAUGACAUCAUCACCUCUCAACCAGCCCGCCUGAAGACUGUAGAGCGAGACAUUUGUGACGUUUUAUAAUGGAAUGAGUAGAAAGAUCUUCAGACAGUAAUUACGGCUUUGAGUUUAAUCAUGUGUCUUCUCUCGCAUACGCCACAGCAUCCUGAAUUGUACUGAUCAAAGUCAUGCUGCGAACGACUGGUUAAAAUCAAGUUAAAUACUAAGAAUAUUUACAACAAAUGUAUGUAAGAGUAUGUAGCCUGUGUACGCAUUAAAAUCUAUUUUCCUACAAAAAGGACUUGAGUUAAACGGGUGGAAUUGCAGUGCAUGGCUUUAUACGAUAAGCUGUGAAAGACCUAAAGCACGUCGCCAUCCCUCCCGGCUAUGUGGGAUAUCUCCAUAUUGUAUGUAAGCUUCUUCUUACCUCUGCUUUCUAUUUGUAAAUCAAAACACUAAAAUGAGAAUAAAAAUCUAGUCAGAGUGGUAUUUCAAAGCAUCACAGCCUUUGUGAAUGAUCUCUGAACUCUGCUGAGAGACAACGGUCGUGAUGGAUGCAGUGGGAAUGUGACGAGUCGAGCGCCGCAGUGCUACCAUGUGCUGUAUCCAAAUACAACUAAAUAAAAUGACAUUGAUUA
Molecule: long non-coding RNA, 2800 nt
Organism: Sinocyclocheilus grahami
Lineage: Eukaryota; Metazoa; Chordata; Actinopteri; Cypriniformes; Cyprinidae
Exons: 2
Source: RefSeq, a predicted model, not a curated record